RNAcentral lists this ribosomal RNA (253 nucleotides) under uncultured bacterium. Its description in RNAcentral is "partial 16S ribosomal RNA". It matches the Rfam family "Bacterial small subunit ribosomal RNA", at positions 524 to 776 of the family's 1533-position model. The record is from RNAcentral.
UACAGAGGUCCCAAGUGUUGUUCGGAUUCACUGGGCGUAAAGGGUGCGUAGGCGGUCGGGUAAGUCUGGCGUGAAAUCUCCAAGCCUAACUUGGAAACUGCGUUGGAUACUAUCCGGCUCGAGGAAUGGAGGGGAGACUGGAAUACUUGGUGUAGCAGUGAAAUGCGUAGAUAUCAAGUGGAACACCAGUGGCGAAGGCGAGUCUCUGGACAUUUCCUGACGCUGAGGCACGAAAGCCAGGGGAGCAAACGGG